This 462-nucleotide ribosomal RNA is filed under the name uncultured organism. RNAcentral describes it as "bacterial SSU rRNA". It matches the Rfam family "Bacterial small subunit ribosomal RNA", at positions 8 to 481 of the family's 1533-position model. The record is from RNAcentral.
AGAGUUUGAUCAUGGCUCAGGACGAACGCUGGCGGCGUGCUUAACACAUGCAAGUCGAACGGAAAGGCCCUGCUUUUGUGGGGUGCUCGAGUGGCGAACGGGUGAGUAACACGUGAGUAACCUGCCCUUGACUUUGGGAUAACUUCAGGAAACUGGGGCUAAUACCGGAUAGGAGCUCCUGCUGCAUGGUGGGGGUUGGAAAGUUUCGGCGGUUGGGGAUGGACUCGCGGCUUAUCAGCUUGUUGGUGGGGUAGUGGCUUACCAAGGCUUUGACGGGUAGCCGGCCUGAGAGGGUGACCGGCCACAUUGGGACUGAGAUACGGCCCAGACUCCUACGGGAGGCAGCAGUGGGGAAUAUUGCACAAUGGGCAGAAGCCUGAUGCAGCAACGCCGCGUGCGGGAUGACGGCCUUCGGGUUGUAAACCGCUUUCGCCUGUGACGAAGCGUGAAGUGACGUAAUGG